Molecule: ribosomal RNA, 253 nt
Filed under: uncultured bacterium
Lineage: Bacteria
Description: partial 16S ribosomal RNA
Rfam family: Bacterial small subunit ribosomal RNA
Source: RNAcentral
UACGGAGGAUGCGAGCGUUAUCCGGAUUUAUUGGGUUUAAAGGGUGCGUAGGCGGGUUAUCAAGUCAGCGGUAAAAUCGUGGAGCUCAACUCCAUCCAGCCCGUUGAAACUGAUGAUCUUGAGUGGGCGAGAAGUAUGCGGAAUGCAUGGUGUAGCGGUGAAAUGCAUAGAUAUCACACAGAACACCGAUUGCGAAGGCAUCUGACGAAUCGGAGAUUGACGCUGAUGCACGAAAGCGUGGGUAUCGAACAGG